AACGAACGCUGGCGGCAUGCCUAACACAUGCAAGUCGAACGAAGGCUUCGGCCUUAGUGGCGCACGGGUGCGUAACGCGUGGGAAUCUGCCCUUAGGUUCGGAAUAACAGUUAGAAAUGACUGCUAAUACCGGAUGAUGACGUAAGUCCAAAGAUUUAUCGCCUGAGGAUGAGCCCGCGUAGGAUUAACUAGUUGGUGUGGUAAAGGCGCACCAAGGCGACGAUCCUUAGCUGGUCUGAGAGGAUGAUCAGCCACACUGGGACUGAGACACGGCCCAGACUCCUACGGGAGGCAGCAGUGGGGAAUAUUGGACAAUGGGCGCAAGCCUGAUCCAGCAAUGCCGCGUGAGUGAUGAAGGCCUUAGGGUUGUAAAGCUCUUUUACCCGUGAUGAUAAUGACAGUAGCGGGAGAAUAAGCCCCGGCUAACUCCGUG
This 433-nucleotide ribosomal RNA is filed under the name uncultured bacterium. Its description in RNAcentral is "partial 16S ribosomal RNA". It matches the Rfam family "Bacterial small subunit ribosomal RNA", at positions 29 to 507 of the family's 1533-position model. The record is from RNAcentral.